This is a ribosomal RNA of 387 nucleotides. It matches the Rfam family "Bacterial small subunit ribosomal RNA", at positions 232 to 885 of the family's 1533-position model.
GAGCUGGUAUCAGGCACGAAAAUCUGCCCAAGACACCUAGCUAUGCCACACCCACAAGGGAAUUCAGCAGUGAUUAACAUUGAGUAUAAGCGUAAGCUUGACUCAGUUAAGGUAAUAAAGAGCCGGCUAAUCUGGUGCCAGCCGCCGCGGUUACACCACGUGGCUCAAAUUGACCUCCUUCGGCGUAAAGCGUGAUUAAAGUUAUAAACCACUAGAAUUAAACUAAAACUAAGCUGUGACACGCUUGUUUUUAAGAAACCCAAAAACGAAAGUUAUUCUACUACAACCAACUUGAACUCACGACAGCUGAGAAACAAACUGGGAUUAGAUACCCCACUAUGCUCAGCCGUAAACUUUUACUUACACCUAAUCGCCAGGGAACUACGA